UACGAAGGGUGCUAGCGUUGCUCGGAAUCACUGGGCGUAAAGGGUGCGUAGGCGGGUCUUUAAGUCAGGGGUGAAAUCCUGGAGCUCAACUCCAGAACUGCCUUUGAUACUGAAGAUCUUGAGUUCGGGAGAGGUGAGUGGAACUGCGAGUGUAGAGGUGAAAUUCGUAGAUAUUCGCAAGAACACCAGUGGCGAAGGCGGCUCACUGGCCCGAUACUGACGCUGAGGCACGGAAGCGUGGGGAGCAAACAGG
Molecule: ribosomal RNA, 253 nt
Filed under: uncultured bacterium
Lineage: Bacteria
Description: partial 16S ribosomal RNA
Rfam family: Bacterial small subunit ribosomal RNA
Source: RNAcentral